RNAcentral lists this ribosomal RNA (694 nucleotides) under uncultured Acinetobacter sp. RNAcentral describes it as "bacterial SSU rRNA". It matches the Rfam family "Bacterial small subunit ribosomal RNA", at positions 28 to 744 of the family's 1533-position model. The record is from RNAcentral. Lineage: Bacteria; Pseudomonadati; Pseudomonadota; Gammaproteobacteria; Moraxellales; Moraxellaceae.
AGUGACGCUGGCGGCAGGCUCACAGAUGUCAGUCGAGCGGAGAGAGGUAGCUUGCUACUGAUCUUAGCGGCGGACGGUGAGUAAUGCUUAGGAAUCUGCCUAUUAGUGGGGGACAACAUUUCGAAAGGAAUGCUAAUACCGCAUACGUCCUACGGGAGAAAGCAGGGGAUCUUCGGACCUUGCGCUAAUAGAUGAGCCUAAGUCGGAUUAGCUAGUUGGUGGGGUAAAGGCCUACCAAGGCGACGAUCUGUAGCGGGUCUGAGAGGAUGAUCCGCCACACUGGGACUGAGAUACGGCCCAGACUCCUACGGGAGGCAGCAGUGGGGAAUAUUGGACAAUGGGCGCAAGCCUGAUCCAGCCAUGCCGCGUGUGAAGAAGGCCUUAUGGUUGUAAAGCACUUUAAGCGAGGAGGAGGCUACUUUAGUUAAUACCUAGAGAUAGUGGACGUUACUCGCAGAAUAAGCACCGGCUAACUCUGUGCCAGCAGCCGCGGUAAUACAGAGGGUGCAAGCGUUAAUCGGAUUUACUGGGCGUACAGCGCGCGUAGGCGGAUAAUUACGUCAGAUGUGAAAUCCCGAGCUUACUUGGGAUUGCGUCGAUACUGGUAGCUAAAUGUGGGAGAGGAUGGAAAUCCAGGUGUACGGUGAAUCGUAAGACUGGAGGAUCCGAUGGGAGGGACCUCUGGCAUAAUGAG